UACUUGGGUGACUAAGGCAGGAUUGCUUGAGCCUGGGAGGUUGAGGCUGCAGUGUGGUGAUCACAGCUCACUGCAGACUCAGCCUCCCAGACUCAAGCAAUCCUCUUGCCUGAGUG
This 116-nucleotide microRNA precursor is filed under the name Aotus nancymaae (Ma's night monkey). Its description in RNAcentral is "miRNA (ENSANAG00000002129.1)". The record is from RNAcentral. Lineage: Eukaryota; Metazoa; Chordata; Mammalia; Primates; Aotidae.